UCCGUAGGAUGCAAGCGUUGUCCGGUUUUAUUGGGUUAAAAGGGCGCGUAGGCGGCCUAUUAAGUUAGUGGUGAAAACGUUCGGCUUAACCGGAUACCCGCCAUUGAUACUGAUAGACUUGAGUGCGACAGAGGGUGUUGGAAUGUGUGGUGUAGCGGUGAAAUGCUUAGAUAUCACGCAGAACACCAAUUGCGAAGGCAGAUGCCUAUGUCGUAACUGACGCUGAGGCACGAAAGCGUGGGGAGCAAACAGG
Molecule: ribosomal RNA, 253 nt
Filed under: uncultured bacterium
Lineage: Bacteria
Description: partial 16S ribosomal RNA
Rfam family: Bacterial small subunit ribosomal RNA
Source: RNAcentral